UCGCAUAGAGAGACGGUCCGGCAGGUCCCCUCCUCUGCCACCAGUUUUUUUUUUUUUCUGGUCAUUUUUCCAGCCAUAGAGGGAGACGAUCCGGCUGGAACCCUCCUCUAUUAUCGGGCACUGUUCGGGCGCCGCUCGGGCGGAGCAAAUCCGGGGAAGCGUGGGGAGGGGCGAGGCCAGAUUUUUUUCACAGGAGUGCAUCAUAUUAGAUUAGUUCUGAUAAUUAGUUUGGUGGGUUUUUUUUGUUUUGAUUUUUAUCUGAUUUUUUUUUUGGGAAUGCGCGGGUGAAUUGUUGCCGUCCAUGUCUUUUGCAGUAAUUGGGAGGAUUUGAUUGUAAAAAAAGUACUAAUAGAGGAAGAUUUAUGACAGGACCUGAAAGAGGCUGAUACAAGCGACCAAAGAAUUUAUCUUCAUCAAAUGCUGAUAUAGUAGGUCGAGAAGAAGAUGUUAUAAUGCCUACUUCAAUUCCAGCAUCCACUAUGUCUAUAUUACCAAAUAGCAAUGAGACGUCUCCUGUUACAAAUACCACUAGAAGAGAUCUCAAUCCUCCUACUUUAAGAAGUAGUGAAAAUUAUUUCUUAUCUAGGAGAGAUCGUGGCACAUCAUGAUGCAUAGUAUUGGAUAAGAAAGUCAGUA
Molecule: non-coding RNA, 636 nt
Organism: Elaeis guineensis (African oil palm)
Lineage: Eukaryota; Viridiplantae; Streptophyta; Magnoliopsida; Arecales; Arecaceae
Source: RefSeq, a predicted model, not a curated record